GCUCCCGUGGCCUAAUGGAUAAGGCGCCAGCCUCCGGAGCUGGAGAUUGUGGGUUCAAGUCCCAUCGGGUGCA
Transfer RNA from Tropilaelaps mercedesae, 73 nucleotides. It matches the Rfam family "tRNA". From Rfam's summary of the family: Transfer RNA (tRNA) molecules are approximately 80 nucleotides in length. Their secondary structure includes four short double-helical elements and three loops (D, anti-codon, and T loops). NCBI's taxonomy places the organism in Eukaryota, Metazoa, Arthropoda, Arachnida, Mesostigmata, Laelapidae. The record is from Rfam.